This 396-nucleotide ribosomal RNA is filed under the name uncultured bacterium. RNAcentral's name for it is "partial 16S ribosomal RNA". It matches the Rfam family "Bacterial small subunit ribosomal RNA", at positions 523 to 918 of the family's 1533-position model. The record is from RNAcentral.
AUACGGAGGGUCCGAGCGUUAAUCGGAAUUACUGGGCGUAAAGCGCGCGUAGGUGGUUCAGUCAGUCAGAUGUGAAAGCCCCGGGCUCAACCUGGGAACUGCACCUGAUACUGCUGAGCUAGAGUACGGUAGAGGGCAGUGGAAUUUCCGGUGUAGCGGUGAAAUGCGUAGAGAUCGGAAGGAACACCAGUGGCGAAGGCGAUUGCAUGAGCUGAUACUGACACUGAGGUGGAAAAGCGUGGGAAGCAAACAGGAUUAGAUACCCUGGUAGUCCACGCCGUAAACGAUGUCAACUAGCCGUUGGGGGACUUGAUCCUUUAGUGGCGAAGCUAACGCGAUAAGUUGACCGCCUGGGGAGUACGGCCGCAAGGUUAAAACUCAAAUGAAUUGACGGGG